Molecule: ribosomal RNA, 873 nt
Filed under: Jimgerdemannia flammicorona
Lineage: Eukaryota; Fungi; Mucoromycota; Endogonomycetes; Endogonales; Endogonaceae
Description: partial 28S ribosomal RNA
Rfam family: Eukaryotic large subunit ribosomal RNA
Source: RNAcentral
AAAAUUUGAAGAAAUAUAGUUUUUUCAACCAUUGUUUAGAUCUGAAAUCAGGUGGGACUACCCGCUGAACUUAAGCAUAUCAAUAAGCGGAGGAAAAGAAACUAACAAGGAUUCCCCUAGUAACGGCGAGUGAAGCGGGAAAAGCUCAAAUUUAAAAUCUGGCAGGUUAUCCUGUCCGAGUUGUAGUUUCAAGAAGCGUUUUCGGUGCGCGUCUGGGUAUAAGUUCUUUGGAACAGGACAUCAUAGAGGGUGAGAAUCCCGUUUAUGACCCGGAACAGCGUACUAUGUGAUACGUUUUCUAAGAGUCAGGUUGUUUGGGAAUGCAGCCUAAAAUGGGUGGUAAAUUUCAUCUAAAGCUAAAUAUUGGCGAGAGACCGAUAGCGAACAAGUACCGUGAGGGAAAGAUGAAAAGAACUUUGAAAAGAGAGUUAAACAGUACGUGAAAUUGUUGAAAGGGAAACGUUUGAAAUCAGUCGUGCGGGCGGGUAAUCAGCUUGGCCUUUGGGUCUUGUGCACUUACUCGUCUCGCAGGCCAGCGUCGGUUUUGUUUGCCGGAUAAAUGCCAAUGGAAUGUAGCUCAACCUUUUACGAGGAGGGGUGUUAUAGCCCUGGUAAAUACGGCGGUCGAGACCGAGGUCUGCAGUUGAUGCCUCUCGGGGCUGGGGACUCCAUCGCUCAUUCGCACCCGCGCCUAGACAGCUUGCUGACUAGGUGUGUGGUCUGUGGGUGACACGGUGGGCUACCACACAUCGACUUGGGUCGCUGGCGUAAUGGUUUUAAAUGACCCGUCUUGAAACACGGACCAAGGAGUCUAACAUAUAUGCGAGUGUUUGGGUGGCAAACUCAUGCGCGUAAUGAAAGUGAAUGUAGGUG